Molecule: long non-coding RNA, 225 nt
Organism: Amblyraja radiata (thorny skate)
Lineage: Eukaryota; Metazoa; Chordata; Chondrichthyes; Rajiformes; Rajidae
Exons: 3
Source: RefSeq, a predicted model, not a curated record
ACCAACGUAACUCCUCAUAAAAUAAAGAUCAAACUUUAAACUGGUAAGUUCUCAUUUAAUCUUACUAUUUUACUUCGGAGUCACGUGAGUGACUAAUUCCGUGAAGAGUUCAAAGCUCUGUGAUUUCAUGCCGCAGAUUCAAAUCCCGGCGUCUCACUGCAUCGAUUGACUCAGAAUGAGUGAAUAAUCAACAAUGCGUUAACCAUAACAUUGAUUCAAAUCUAU